Molecule: ribosomal RNA, 407 nt
Filed under: uncultured bacterium
Lineage: Bacteria
Description: partial 16S ribosomal RNA
Rfam family: Bacterial small subunit ribosomal RNA
Source: RNAcentral
AUUGAACGCUAGCGGGAUGCCUUACACAUGCAAGUCGAACGGAGUGGCGAACGGGUGAGUAAUGUCUAGGAACGUGCCCAGUAGCGGGGGAUAACUACGCGAAAGCGUAGCUAAUACCGCAUACUAUCGGAGCGGCCGAUAUCGGAUUAGCUAGUUGGUGGGGUAACGGCUCACCAAGGCGACGAUCCGUAGCUGGUUUGAGAGGACGAUCAGCCACACUGGGACUGAGACACGGCCCAGACUCCUACGGGAGGCAGCAGUGGGGAAUAUUGGACAAUGGGGGAAAGCCUGAUCCAGCCAUCCCGCGUGUGCGAUGAAGGCCUUCGGAUUGUAAAGCACUUUUGGCAGGGAAGCGGUACCUGCAGAAUAAGCACCGGCUAACUACGUGCCAGCAGCCGCGGUAAUUC